This 351-nucleotide unclassified non-coding RNA is filed under the name soil metagenome. RNAcentral's name for it is "partial contains 5.8S ribosomal RNA, internal transcribed spacer 2, and large subunit ribosomal RNA". The stretch from base 1 to 120 matches the Rfam family "5.8S ribosomal RNA", at positions 35 to 154 of the family's 154-position model. The record is from RNAcentral.
GAUGAAGAACGUAGCGAAAUGCGAUAAGUAAUGUGAAUUGCAGAAUUCAGUGAAUCAUCGAAUCUUUGAACGCACAUUGCGCCCGCCAGUAUUCUGGCGGGCAUGCCUGUUCGAGCGUCAUUACAACCCUCAGGCCCCCGGGCCUGGCGUUGGGGAUCGGCGGAAGCCCCCUGUGGGCACACGCCGUCCCUCAAAUACAGUGGCGGUCCCGCCGCAGCUUCCAUUGCGUAGUAGCUAACACCUCGCAACUGGAGAGCGGCGCGGCCAUGCCGUAAAACACCCAACUUCUGAAUGUUGACCUCGAAUCAGGUAGGAAUACCCGCUGAACUUAAGCAUAUCAUAAGCGGAGGA